RNAcentral lists this ribosomal RNA (3024 nucleotides) under Salmonella enterica subsp. enterica serovar Ouakam str. SA20034636. Its description in RNAcentral is "bacterial LSU rRNA". It matches the Rfam family "Bacterial large subunit ribosomal RNA". The record is from RNAcentral. Lineage: Bacteria; Pseudomonadati; Pseudomonadota; Gammaproteobacteria; Enterobacterales; Enterobacteriaceae.
GGGUUGUGAGGUUAAGCGACUAAGCGUACACGGUGGAUGCCCUGGCAGUCAGAGGCGAUGAAGGGCGUGCUAAUCUGCGAUAAGCGCCGGUAAGGUGAUAUGAACCGUUAUAACCGGCGAUACCCGAAUGGGGAAACCCAGUGUGACUCGUCACACUAUCAUUAACUGAAUCCAUAGGUUAAUGAGGCGAACCGGGGGAACUGAAACAUCUAAGUACCCCGAGGAAAAGAAAUCAACCGAGAUUCCCCAGUAGCGGCGAGCGAACGGGGAGGAGCCCAGAGCCUGAAUCAGCAUGUGUGUUAGUGGAAGCGUCUGGAAAGGCGCGCGAUACAGGGUGACAGCCCCGUACACAAAAGCGCAUGUGCUGUGAGCUCGAUGAGUAGGGCGGGACACGUGGUAUCCUGUCUGAAUAUGGGGGGACCAUCCUCCAAGGCUAAAUACUCCUGACUGACCGAUAGUGAACCAGUACCGUGAGGGAAAGGCGAAAAGAACCCCGGCGAGGGGAGUGAAAAAGAACCUGAAACCGUGUACGUACAAGCAGUGGGAGCCCCACCACUAAGCCAGUGGUGAACUCCACAUACGCAUCCUUUGCUGAGGAUACGGUUAACGGAGCGAAAGCGACGUUCAACCUCAAAAGAAGCAGAGGGGCUUAGUGGUGGGGUGACUGCGUACCUUUUGUAUAAUGGGUCAGCGACUUAUAUUCUGUAGCAAGGUUAACCGAAUAGGGGAGCCGGAGGGAAACCGAGUCUUAACCGGGCGUUAAGUUGCAGGGUAUAGACCCGAAACCCGGUGAUCUAGCCAUGGGCAGGUUGAAGGUUGGGUAACACUAACUGGAGGACCGAACCGACUAAUGUUGAAAAAUUAGCGGAUGACCUGUGGCUGGGGGUGAAAGGCCAAUCAAACCGGGAGAUAGCUGGUUCUCCCCGAAAGCUAUUUAGGUAGCGCCUCGUGAAUUCAUCUCCGGGGGUAGAGCACUGUUUCGGCUAGGGGGCCAUCCCGGCUUACCAACCCGAUGCAAACUGCGAAUACCGGAGAAUGUUAUCACGGGAGACACACGGCGGGUGCUAACGUCCGUCGUGAAGAGGGAAACAACCCAGACCGCCAGCUAAGGUCCCAAAGUCAUGGUUAAGUGGGAAACGAUGUGGGAAGGCCCAGACAGCCAGGAUGUUGGCUUAGAAGCAGCCAUCAUUUAAAGAAAGCGUAAUAGCUCACUGGUCGAGUCGGCCUGCGCGGAAGAUGUAACGGGGCUAAACCAUGCACCGAAGCUGCGGCAGCGACACUGUGUGUUGUUGGGUAGGGGAGCGUUCUGUAAGCCUGCGAAGGUGGCCUGUGAGGGUUGCUGGAGGUAUCAGAAGUGCGAAUGCUGACAUAAGUAACGAUAAAGCGGGUGAAAAGCCCGCUCGCCGGAAGACCAAGGGUUCCUGUCCAACGUUAAUCGGGGCAGGGUGAGUCGACCCCUAAGGCGAGGCCGAAAGGCGUAGUCGAUGGGAAACGGGUUAAUAUUCCCGUACUUGGUGUUACUGCGAAGGGGGACGGAGAAGGCUAUGUUGGCCGGGCGACGGUUGUCCCGGUUUAAGCGUGUAGGUGUGUGUUCCAGGUAAAUCCGGUUCACUUUAACACUGAGGCGUGAUGACGAGGCACUACGGUGCUGAAGCAACAAAUGCCCUGCUUCCAGGAAAAGCCUCUAAGCAUCAGGUAACAUCAAAUCGUACCCCAAACCGACACAGGUGGUCAGGUAGAGAAUACCAAGGCGCUUGAGAGAACUCGGGUGAAGGAACUAGGCAAAAUGGUGCCGUAACUUCGGGAGAAGGCACGCUGACACGUAGGUGAAGUGAUUUACUCAUGGAGCUGAAGUCAGUCGAAGAUACCAGCUGGCUGCAACUGUUUAUUAAAAACACAGCACUGUGCAAACACGAAAGUGGACGUAUACGGUGUGACGCCUGCCCGGUGCCGGAAGGUUAAUUGAUGGGGUCAGCGCAAGCGAAGCUCCUGAUCGAAGCCCCGGUAAACGGCGGCCGUAACUAUAACGGUCCUAAGGUAGCGAAAUUCCUUGUCGGGUAAGUUCCGACCUGCACGAAUGGCGUAAUGAUGGCCAGGCUGUCUCCACCCGAGACUCAGUGAAAUUGAACUCGCUGUGAAGAUGCAGUGUACCCGCGGCAAGACGGAAAGACCCCGUGAACCUUUACUAUAGCUUGACACUGAACAUUGAGCCUUGAUGUGUAGGAUAGGUGGGAGGCUUUGAAGUGUGGACGCCAGUCUGCAUGGAGCCGACCUUGAAAUACCACCCUUUAAUGUUUGAUGUUCUAACGUGGACCCGUGAUCCGGGUUGCGGACAGUGUCUGGUGGGUAGUUUGACUGGGGCGGUCUCCUCCUAAAGAGUAACGGAGGAGCACGAAGGUUGGCUAAUCCUGGUCGGACAUCAGGAGGUUAGUGCAAUGGCAUAAGCCAGCUUGACUGCGAGCGUGACGGCGCGAGCAGGUGCGAAAGCAGGUCAUAGUGAUCCGGUGGUUCUGAAUGGAAGGGCCAUCGCUCAACGGAUAAAAGGUACUCCGGGGAUAACAGGCUGAUACCGCCCAAGAGUUCAUAUCGACGGCGGUGUUUGGCACCUCGAUGUCGGCUCAUCACAUCCUGGGGCUGAAGUAGGUCCCAAGGGUAUGGCUGUUCGCCAUUUAAAGUGGUACGCGAGCUGGGUUUAGAACGUCGUGAGACAGUUCGGUCCCUAUCUGCCGUGGGCGCUGGAGAACUGAGGGGGGCUGCUCCUAGUACGAGAGGACCGGAGUGGACGCAUCACUGGUGUUCGGGUUGUCAUGCCAAUGGCACUGCCCGGUAGCUAAAUGCGGAAGAGAUAAGUGCUGAAAGCAUCUAAGCACGAAACUUGCCCCGAGAUGAGUUCUCCCUGAGACUUAGAGUCUCCUGAAGGAACGUUGAAGACGACGACGUUGAUAGGCCGGGUGUGUAAGCGCAGCGAUGCGUUGAGCUAACCGGUACUAAUGAACCGUGAGGCUUAACCUUACAACGCCGAAG